Molecule: unclassified non-coding RNA, 2946 nt
Filed under: Leishmania donovani
Lineage: Eukaryota; Euglenozoa; Kinetoplastea; Trypanosomatida; Trypanosomatidae
Description: gene:LdHU3.17.1780(CDS-product:hypothetical_prote in_conserved)
Source: RNAcentral
GACUGAGUGCUCAGUCAGUGUGCGAGAGAGGCAAAACAUCGACAGCCCCCACCCCCCUCCUCCCCCACCACACCAGCGCACGCGUACGCACAGAGCCACUGCAGCUGCGUCUGCACGUCACUUUAGAUCUGAGCUUGUGCCCGGGCCAACGUUUUGCGUUUCCUGAUCGCGCGCUGCGUCUCUGCCUGCGAAAUCCCUGGGGGCCGUCGCUGCCCAUCCGACGGCCAAAGACGCCCGCACGCAUACACCCUCUGCGCCAACGCGUGUAUGCAUCUUUCUAGCCAGAGAGCCAAGCAGCCCAGCUCUUCCCUAUCGCUCAUGCCCAUCAUUCUUCGUGUGUGCGUGGCCAUCGAGUCGGACGCGGCUCUGCCGUCGACGCCAAUGGCACCUUCGCCACAGGCUGCUGCUGCUGCGACGACGGCCCCUGCAUUUGCGAGGAGUGCACUAAACCUCCACCCUCUACAUCAGCAGCGGCCUGCGCCCCAGAUAUCAGCCUCAAGGCUGCCUAGCUCGCCAGGGCUGCAGCAGGACUCGGCUCCGCUGCCGACGCCUCGUCACAGGUCGCUCCUGUGGCUAUCGAUGCAGGUGACGCUGACCACGACGGUGAAGGCGGUCCUCCAGCAGGUUCAGGAGACGGUGGAGCGGCGCAUGUGUGCCUCAUUAUGCGCCGGCUACACACAUGGCGACCACCACGAGAUCAGCGGAGGCAACAGUGCCCCUUGUGCCUUGGCCCGCCCUACUUCGCUGCUGGGCCGCAGCGGCGGCAAGGAUCACAGUAGCGGUUCCGUCGUGGAUGGUACCCAGGCAGCCGACCCGUUGACUUCUCGUACUCCUCAUCUGACAGAUAGCUUGCAGGAAGCGGAACUCUGUCUCUGCCUGCAAGACAAGGAUGGUGAGUACCGCUGGGCCGGCGGCACGCAACACUUCCACAAGGUGGCCGUGCUGCGAGCGCCGUUCAUUACGGAAGUGUGCCUCCGCACGCACGCCGUCUUCGAGGAAGAGAGGCGCCGGUCGCGCCGCGAGGCGAGACAAGAGCGAACUUCGUCAGCGCGGUCGUCGUCGUUGACCUUGGCAUCACACGCGCCGUCUCUGCUUCCCAGCCUCUACCGCAGCGCUGAAGACGCUCUCAACGUCAGCGAUAGCCGUGAGUGCAGCGAUGAGCAUUCGGACCAGCGCGCGAAGAGCACACAUGGAAAGCGAGGGGGUGCGCCCGGCAAUGCCCCGGACACUUCGGCUGCCACAACGACAGUCAACAAAGGCCAUGCAGCGCACACGCUGACCGGCCAGUCCUUUGCGAGGAAGGCCGGUCGGCCAAGGUUCGCUUUCUUGAAGGGUGUUGUGGUGCCCAUGGUCGUGCUGCGGCAGUGCAACCCUCAAUACGCCAUGGUUGGCAAGCACCACCCGCACGGCCGCACCCCUCGACAGUAUGCAGAGGUGCGGGUACCGGCUGACAUGCAGGCGGAGCCACUCGAUGACUUCCUGCGCAGCUCUGGGACUGCACCGGCCAGUGACACGGCACAGGUCACGUCGGAGGAGUCAGUUGCUCAUGCCUCUGCUCAUGCGGAGCUGUUGCCGCUACGAGUGACCGCGCUGUCAACUUCGGAUAGACUUGGUGACACGGUAUUGCGGUCUCCCGCCUCACCGCACAGCACCAGCGCUCCGGCGACGAGAGACAUCUCAGCUGAGACACCUUGUCUCGCUGCCGCGCUGAUGCCCGCGUCCUCGACGUCGACGCUACCAAGCUGCUCUGCGCCGCUUGACCGAUCGUGCGGAGUCGUCGAGGACGCCCAUAGUCCCCGUACCCGCCCUUCGAUUUUUGACACCCACCAAGUUCAUUCCUACCACUCGACCGCGGCAGCGACGGCGCACACGGCUACAGCGGCAGGGCCAGUCGGCCUGGUGGCGCACGCCACGACGGUGGAGAGGGCGAGCGAAGCGAGUGGCCCAAGUGCCACAGCGGACGCACUGCGCGUGCGAGGGACCGUCGACGUGCAGGCCUGCGAAGCAUCGGCGAAGGAGGAAGCCGCAGUCCGCAUCGCCUUGGCAGCCGCGCAGCAGGACUACACCGCCGCGCUAGCCGAGUACAAGUCAGUGGUGGCAUGCUCAUCUGCCAAGCCCACCGCGGCAAGCGAGUGUGAGGUGCAGCCCUGGCAGCCGGCUCAGUGUGCUGACGCAGAGCUGGCGACUCUCCUGCAGCGGAGGGUCGAACUGCAGAGACAGCUAAAGGUGUGCCGGGAGGCGGAGCAACAGUGUGAGCGACUGACCAUGCUGGCCGAGCGCCUAGAGAAGGCGGUACGGGAGCAGGAGGAGCGUCGCGUGCCGCGGACGCCGCUGCGCCACGGCAAUGAUAGUGCCGCAUUUGCGGCUGGCUACUAAAGUGAUAGGAGGGUCACUGUGCGUGUGUGUAGGUGUGUACGGGGGUGGCGGGGCGGAGGGACGGCGAACACUUACGCACAAGCGUUCCGCAGAAAACACUCCGCCGCCCUUUCUCUUCCUUGUAAUUCGUGUGCGGAAUACCUGCCGGCUGUCUCUCGUGCCGUGUGCACGUACCGCCAUCCGCGCACGUGCCCGAGGCACAGAGAACGAUGAAGUGAUGGGUCGCAAUCGCCUUCCCGGCAGCAAGCUCUCUCCUCCCCUCCAACGCGGAAAGGAACGCCGACACGUUACGCCACGCGCUGGUGAAGGAACUCGUCGCUUGCAUGCGUAUGCGUUUCUGCGCAUGUGGGGCAGGUAUGUAUCUACGUAUGGCGCAUGUAACUCGCUUGACUGCAUCCUUCGACGGCACUGGAUAGCACCCCGCACGUGCGCCCAGCGCGGACUCUUGGAGUGGGAGCUUGUAAGAAACCGUGUGCGCACGCAUCUUACACAGAUGCAUGCACACGCUCGCGAACGCCGGUGCAAGUGAGAUGCAUGCCAGCGCACGCUGCCGCCCAUACGCAAUGGUGC